RNAcentral lists this long non-coding RNA (251 nucleotides) under Rattus norvegicus (Norway rat). RNAcentral describes it as "long non-coding RNA NONRATT001627". Lineage: Eukaryota; Metazoa; Chordata; Mammalia; Rodentia; Muridae. The record is from RNAcentral.
CCAGGCACUGACCGGUUUCCAGGCCUAAAUGAGAAUCUGAGGUGGAGGAAGGAGCAGACACAGUGGCGGCAAGCUAACGAGAAGCUGGACAAGUGAGUCGCUCUGCACUGCCUUCCCCAACAGUCCUAACUCUUGUUCUCAGGCUGCUUGUGUUACGAGACAACUGCAUCCUUCCACAGACAGCUAAGAAAAGGAAACAUAGUGUCUGUGUAAAAACAGCUCCAGCUACCCAGGAUGCCCAGAGAUAUAAG